RNAcentral lists this transfer RNA (98 nucleotides) under Monodelphis domestica (gray short-tailed opossum). It matches the Rfam family "tRNA". Rfam says of the family: Transfer RNA (tRNA) molecules are approximately 80 nucleotides in length. Their secondary structure includes four short double-helical elements and three loops (D, anti-codon, and T loops). Lineage: Eukaryota; Metazoa; Chordata; Mammalia; Didelphimorphia; Didelphidae. The record is from Rfam by way of RNAcentral.
GGCUGGGUAGCUCAGUGGAUUGAGCGGCUGGCUUGCUCAUUGGAUUGAGAGCCAAGCCAUCAGGUGGGAGGUCCUUGGUUCGAAUCCGGCCUCAGCCA